GCCACCGUAGCUCAGAUGGUAGAGCAGUUCACUCGUAAUGAUCAGGUCAGCGGUUCGAUUCCGCUCGGUGGCUCCA
This 76-nucleotide transfer RNA is filed under the name Nitrospira bacterium SG8_35_1. Its description in RNAcentral is "tRNA-Thr". It matches the Rfam family "tRNA". Rfam says of the family: Transfer RNA (tRNA) molecules are approximately 80 nucleotides in length. Their secondary structure includes four short double-helical elements and three loops (D, anti-codon, and T loops). The record is from RNAcentral. RNAcentral also lists the same sequence under 3 other names. Lineage: Bacteria; Pseudomonadati; Nitrospirota; Nitrospiria.